ACCGGCGGCUCGAGUGGUGGCCACAAUUACUGGGCUUAAAGCGUUCGUAGCUGGCUUGUUAAGUCUCUGGUGAAAUCUUCCGGCUCAACCGGAAGACGGCUCAGGGAUACUGGCAGGUUAGGGACCGGAAGAGGUGCGAGGUACUCCAAGGGUAGGAGUGAAAUCCUGUAAUCCGUGAGGGACCACCUGUGGCGAAGGCAUCUCACCAGGACGGCUCCGACAGUGAGGAACGAAAGCGGGGGGAGCAAACAG
Molecule: ribosomal RNA, 252 nt
Filed under: uncultured prokaryote
Description: partial 16S rRNA
Rfam family: Archaeal small subunit ribosomal RNA
Source: RNAcentral